AUUGAACGCUGGCGGCAGGCCUAAUACAUGCAAGUCGAGCGGACGAAGGGAGCUCGCUCCUGGCUUCAGCGGCGGACGGGCGAGUAAUGCCUAGGAAGCUGCCUGGUAGAGGGGGAUAAGGUCAGGUAACGGGCGCUAAUACCGUAUACGUCCUGAGGUAGAAAGGGGUGGUUCUUUGGUCCUCACGCUAUCUGAUGAGCCUAGGUCGGAUUAGCUAGUUGGUGUGGUAAAGGCGUACCAAGGCGACGAUCCGUAACUGCUCUGAGAGGAUGAUCAGUCACACUGGAACUGAGACACGGUCCAGACUCCUACGGGAGGCAGCAGUAGGGAAUAUUGGACAAAGGGCGAAAGCCUGAUCCAGCCAUGCCGCGUGAGUGAAGAAGGUCUUCGGAUUGUAAAACACUUUUAGUUGGGAGGAACAAAAGUAAAUGUAUCCCUUGCUGUCUUGACGUUACCAACAGAGUAAGCACCGGCUAACUUCGUG
RNAcentral lists this ribosomal RNA (484 nucleotides) under uncultured bacterium. RNAcentral's name for it is "partial 16S ribosomal RNA". It matches the Rfam family "Bacterial small subunit ribosomal RNA", at positions 30 to 507 of the family's 1533-position model. The record is from RNAcentral.